This 863-nucleotide ribosomal RNA is filed under the name Archivesica marissinica. RNAcentral's name for it is "Calyptogena marissinica 12S ribosomal RNA". The record is from RNAcentral. Lineage: Eukaryota; Metazoa; Mollusca; Bivalvia; Venerida; Vesicomyidae.
AGUUUAUUAGCUUCUGGUAAUAUGUUAGCUGUAUAUUUAAGUAAUACAUGGUAUUAAAAGAGUGGGAGAGAGGAAUAUGCUUUUUUUAGUUAAUGAUUUAAUAAGGUUAAAUAUAAUAGGUAUUAAAUCGAUUAGUGGGUUUAUAACAGGUUAAUUAAUAUCUCUACACCAGUAGUUAGGGUUGAUUAACAUAUAGAAAUAUAGAUUAAGUAAUGUAUGAAAGAGGGGAAUAAUAAAGUGCCAGCAUUCGCGGUCAGUCUUUACACCUCAAGUUAAUAGUUUUGUAAAAGAGUGAGGUUAUAAAUAAAGUAUUGGUUUUGGUUUAUAGCGGUCAAAUGUGUAGUAAGUUUAAAAAUUAAGGGCUACUUAAAAACCUAAUCUGUAAAGGCUGUAACAAAGACAAGGAUUUGAUACCCUUUUAUUUAUGCUGUCAAAUAAUUUACGGGGACUACGGGCUAUAAUUGCUUAAAACUUAAAGAAGUUGGCGGUGCUCUAUAACCAUUAAGGGGAACUUGGCGAUUAAAUUGAUGAUCCUCAAAUUACCUCACCUUUAGUGGUCUUUAUAUACCGCCGUUGAAAGGUAAUUUUGAAGAAAAAAGAUACGGGCGUAAUGUAUAUAAAUGAAUUUAUACAGGAAUUCAGGUACACGUAUAGGGUCUAAAGGGUUUAGCUGAGUUACAAUUAUAAAAUAAGACGGAUUUAUUAGUGAAACAUUGGUGAGGAAGGUGUACUUAUUAGUAAAUUUUUAUAAGGGAGGAAAGUUGAAUAGGGUAAUUGGAGUGCGUACAAAUCGCCCGAUACCCUACGUAUUUAAAGUCGAGGUAAGUCGUAACAUAGUAAUGCUAGUAUAAAUUGGUGUUGUA